This 253-nucleotide ribosomal RNA is filed under the name uncultured bacterium. RNAcentral describes it as "partial 16S ribosomal RNA". It matches the Rfam family "Bacterial small subunit ribosomal RNA", at positions 524 to 776 of the family's 1533-position model. The record is from RNAcentral.
UACGUAGGGGGCAAGCGUUGUCCGGAAUCAUUGGGCGUAAAGAGCGUGUAGGCGGUCCGGUAAGUCCGCUGUGAAAGUCGGGGGCUCAACCCUCGAAUGCCGGUGGAUACUGUCGGGCUAGAGUGCGGAAGAGGCGAGUGGAAUUCCUGGUGUAGCGGUGAAAUGCGCAGAUAUCAGGAGGAACACCAAUUGCGAAGGCAGCUCGCUGGGACGUAACUGACGCUGAGACGCGAAAGCGUGGGGAGCAAACAGG